UCUCUUUCAUACAUUCAUCUUCUCCAACUACAAGUCCAUUUCCAAGCUUGAAGAUCAUUCGUAGAAGUUGCAAGUUGAAGGGCUCUCAAGAAAGCUUUGUUCAAGUCUUUAUCACCAUCUUUUCUCUUCAUCUUUGCACUAGAUUCAUCCCUAGCGUUAAGCUAGUAGUAGUCGUGUUUGCUGAGGAGAUUUGGGUUACAAGUACCGAAGACGCAAUACAACAUUUAUUUACAUGGAAAUUAGUAAAUGGAUCUGGCGGGCGUUGGAGUUUUUAAGCUGCAUUGUGAAUAAAGAUGUCAUCCAAGUCAUUAGGGCUUAG
RNAcentral lists this long non-coding RNA (319 nucleotides) under Helianthus annuus (common sunflower). RNAcentral's name for it is "hypothetical non coding rna". Lineage: Eukaryota; Viridiplantae; Streptophyta; Magnoliopsida; Asterales; Asteraceae. The record is from RNAcentral.